RNAcentral lists this ribosomal RNA (229 nucleotides) under uncultured bacterium. Its description in RNAcentral is "partial 16S ribosomal RNA". It matches the Rfam family "Bacterial small subunit ribosomal RNA", at positions 568 to 796 of the family's 1533-position model. The record is from RNAcentral.
UGCGCAGGCGGAAGAAUAAGUCAGUGGUGAAAUACUGCCGCUCAGCGGUAGGGCUGCCAUUGAUACUGUUUUUCUUGAGUAUGGUUGAGGUAGGCGGAAUGUGCGGUGUAGCGGUGAAAUGCAUAGAUAUCGCCCAGAACGCCGAUUGCGAAGGCAGCUUACUAAACCAUUACUGACGCUGAGGCACGAAAGCGUGGGUAGCGAACAGGAUUAGAUACCCUGGUAGUCC